RNAcentral lists this non-coding RNA (21 nucleotides) under Caenorhabditis elegans. Lineage: Eukaryota; Metazoa; Nematoda; Chromadorea; Rhabditida; Rhabditidae. The record is from RNAcentral.
UGGAGAGAUAUUUACAAUAUU